AUGCUAGUUGAGGUGCAUACAAAACCUGCUAAGAAAUCUACCGCGAAGAGAGCUAACAAGCCUACUAAGGAACCAGCUGCUAAGAAACCUAAGAAGGCACCUGUUGAGAAGGCACCUAAAAUCCUAAAAUCAGCUAUGGAUGAUGUACUAUGCAGUGCUACAUCAUCUGUGGUUGUGGACAAUGCGAAUGAGGAAGCACUUGAGGUUGUUCAAUCAAUGGUGAGUCAAACAAGUGCUUUUGUUGACAAUGAUAUUAACUUUGCAACAUGUGAUGUUGUUCAACCCAAUAUGCCAUCAAUUUCUGACAUUGCUGAAAGCAAUGAGCAAUGCGGGUCUUCGGUGGUGUUGGACAUAGAACCACCAAUUGAUUGGAGCCUAAUUGAGAUUGCUCCUCCAAAUGAAGAUGAAGUGGAUGUUCCAGUUACAGAGGAGAAUAUGUGUGAUUUUCUAGGUAUCGAGGAGGAUGAGACACAUGAAGCACCUUCUUCGCCACCUAGUGAAGAUGCGUAUCUCACUGAUGAGGAGGACCAACAACUAUUAACUGAGACUGCUAUUCCUGUUGAUGACAAGAUAGCUCAAGAGGAGGAGAUUGCAUAUGACAAAGAGAACCCUCAUAUGUAUGUAGGUGCCUUGUUUCCUUCAAUGGAAGAGUUCAGGAUGGCAAUAAAACAAUAUGCCAUUAACAAUGAAAUUGACAUAUGGGGAUAUAAAACAGACAAAAAAAGAUAUCUCGGACUAUGCAGAGGCAUCAAGUGUCCAUGGAGAAUAACUGCUCGUUUAAGGGCUGAUGCGAAAACAAUAAGGGUCACUAAGAUG
Molecule: ribosomal RNA, 816 nt
Filed under: Triticum aestivum (bread wheat)
Lineage: Eukaryota; Viridiplantae; Streptophyta; Magnoliopsida; Poales; Poaceae
Description: partial small subunit ribosomal RNA
Source: RNAcentral